UAUAUAUAUAUAUAUAUAUAUAUAACCCUAGUUCACUUUAUUCACCCUCAGAAGCGCCUCAACCCCAUGUGGUGCCCUUAGCUUUGCCCCCUCUCGCGCGACUCUGUCACCCUCUGUGCCCCCUACGUUGCUCGCACCUCCCUCUCCUCUCCUCCCCAUUCAGUGCACGUGCCCCCUCUAAUCUGUGUUGUGUGGCGCUUGUGCCCCCUCUCACUGUCUACCUCUUGCGCAUGGAGCACGGUAGCCGGUGGUAGCCCUCUCUGUCUCUCUAACACGGAGCAUGGUGGCUGGCAGUGGCCCUCUCUGUCUCUCUUGCAUGUGGAAUGGUGGAUCCCAAUGCCCGAAGGACCACAGAGGUGGAUCCCGGUGGCCACCACCAUAUCCAGCGAGGAUGAGCCUGAUCCAGCAGCGACAUAGCUCAAACAGCCAAACCCUAGUGGUCAGAGGAGAACGAAGGUGGAUCCCAAUGGCCACCACCAAAUUUGACGAGGAGGUACUCGGAUCCGGCGAGGAGUAGCCUGAUCUGGCAGCGGCAUAGCUCCAACGGCUGAAUCCCGGCAACUAGAGGAGCACGGAGGUGGAUCCCGACAGUCACCACUAGAUCCGCCGAGGAGGAUCCUGAUCCAACGGUGGGCGGGCAGAUCCGUGCGGUGUGUGCGGUUCUGCGAGGAAGCAAGUGCCAGUGAAUGGUGGCGGUGGUGGGGGCGCAUGGAUGGGCUCACGGGGCCCGUGGAUGGGCUUGGUGGGCUCAGGUUUUUCUUUUUUAUUAUUAUUAUUUUUGGUCGAUUAACCAAGGUGAGAAAGGCAAUUGCCUCCGUUAAGCCUCUAUUAGCCAAGGCCUUUGAUUGGAGGCGGUUGCAAUGCCCAUCUCCAUUAACCCUUUUUGCCCACCUCCAUAGAAUACUACAGUAGUGGGCCAUAGGCCAUAUAAUGUGUUGGAGUUCCUUAGCAGCGUGAAUAGGGUCCUUUAUUGGCCACCCCUUAAACUAUAUAUUUAGUAGCCAAUCCUUAAUUAGGGUUUAUAUUUUGCUUAGACUAAUUCAUGAUCGAACAGUUUCAUUUGCCAUAUAUUGUUUUGUGGAACCCCAACUUCUGAACUUCAUAUAAAUCUGCAAUAUUUUUCCAGUUCACACGCAUGGAUAAGCCUUCUAAGUGGCUUCAAUUGGGAAUUGCAUAGUUGAUAACUAGUGAAGACAUAGUGCUAAAGGUACAGGUCUAGGUUGUUGUGAUGCAAACCCACAGUGUACAGUAGAAACAGUGAGCAUGUAUCUUGUCUGCUCUAGUUGUACCCAACAGUCCUGUAAAAACACUUCAGUUUAGUCCUUGUUUAGUUCUUAAAAAUUUUCAAGUUUUUCUAUCACAUCAAAUAUUUGAACGUAUAUAUGAAGUAUUAAAUAUAGAUUAAAAAAUUACUAAUUGCACAUGUGAUUUGCGAGACGAAUUUUUUUAAGCCUAAAUAGUCCAUGGUUGGAUAAUAAUUACCUAAUACAAACGAAAGUGCUAUAAUAACCAAAUCUAAAAAAAUCAUAAACUAAAUAAGGCUUUAGGCUAAUUCUGUUCGCCUAGCAAUAUUUCUCUCAUAAUAAAUCAACGAUUUCGGAGCUUUUGCGAACAGACCUGUCCUACGCUUGUCUUGACAGCGAUCAUUAUGUGCCUAGACUAGACGCGUGACUUUUGCCAACAUGAGCAGUAGUAGUUGUCUACAGCUAGAUUCUUCCUGUUGCACAUACCAGCCGGUCCAGCCCAUUCAAAGACAGUAUCACACCGACACUGACUGAAACAGAGCUCCUUGUCCUUGGAUGUCACGGGGAAUUCUCGGUUCUGAUGAUAUUGAUUUGUGCUUUAUUUCCACACGUUACUAUGUUUGUAAUGACUUUUUCUCUCGAAGUAUUAUCAAUGUUGCCGAGACAAUUUCACGGGAUACAUCAUUUAAGCGGUCUCAAUGCUAAGUUUCAUCUUUCAGUUUCUAAAAUAUGAAACUUUGAGAUAAAAUUAAUCUAUUUCUCAGUGUAUAGUUUUAUUGCAUAGUUUUAUAGAUUAUUUUUAGUCUGUUGUGGGUUCCAUCGUCACUCUCUUUUCUCUCUUUCCUCACCGACGCCAUGGCCAAACACCGCAAUAUUGUUCCGCUCUGUGGCUACCACGAAGCAACGCACUUCAACCUCCUCAUCUAUGAGCUGAUGCCCAACGCGAGCCUGGACCAGGUGCUGCAUCUACAUGCGAACCACCAGUUCUGCCUCCUCGGUAGGCUUCCUCGCUGUAGAGCCACGCGGAGGGGCUCGGCGGCCGGAGGAGCCCGCGGCUGAGCUCGUGAAGCCCACGGCAGUGGAGCAAGCACCCACGACAGCGGAGCUCGCACGCAUAGAGCAGGCACCCGCGACGCCUCACCCACCUCCGGCGGUUUUCUCACGACGAAGGUGCACGCCUGACAGUCUCGUUUGCAAUAGAGGCGCGCCCCGCAGCUUUGCCCGCGCCCAGCAGGUGUGCUCGUGGCGGAGGUGCCUCACCUAUAUCCGGUGGCCUCACUAGAGGCGGAGAUGCACCCGACGGCCUCGCCCGCUUCUGACGAUGGCAAGCUCGCUGUCCUCGUACACGAAGGAAGAAGAAGCUGCGAUGAAACGAACUGAGGCUCUCAACGCGCAUUUCACACAGUUUCUGAGUCCUUGGAAACGCCGCUGGGUCGUUUCAAUGGGAUGAAACGAUUCCUUCUCUCUUUGCUCUCACUCUGCUCUAGUUUCAUGCAAAAACUCCAAAUUUACUGAUGUGGCAUCCUAUUUAAUAUGCAUGAAAUUCCCUAUGAAAUUCCAUUGAGACUAGCCUUAGGCUCAGUGUAGGUUUUAUAGCUUAGUUUUCAAAACAUCCAUAUUUUAGAAACAGUACAGAAAGUUUUAACUCUUAUCACCUCUCUAUUCAUUAAUACGGUGGUCUAACAUGUUCUUAAUGUAAUCUCUCUCCCCUGCCAUCCUGUAACUUGAAUUCGCUAGGACACUCUCAUACAGACUUAGCAUAAUUUUUAUGGUCAUUUAUUACCUUGCUAUUUAUUAAGUUUUCCUGACGUGGCAUUGUAUUUAUCGAAAAAAGAGAAAAAAGAGCAAGAAACGAAGUCUAAGUUAGACGCGAUGUCUACAAGGUAUCGAGGCAGAAGAAACCACACUCGUUCUCAUUGCGUAAGCAGUGGUGGACCCAGGAUUUGGUUAGGACUAGGACCAAAUUCUAGUAGCGAAAAGCCAAAAACUACACUGUUGUUUAUAUAAUCUAUGUAUAAAACUUGUUAUUACAAAGAAAAUUUUUUAGAUCAGAAAUUCUCCAACUACAUAUUGCCAUACAAUUUAUAAGAAUACAACAUUGAACUACAAAAAUAAAUACUUAGCAAUAACAAGAAUAUAACAUUGAACUACAAAAAUAAAUACCUAGCAAUGAUAUGCUACAUUCGCAUUUUCAUGUCCUUUUCAGUAACGCCUAAAUCUAGACACAAGAUGUGAGAGUUAAUUAAUUAAAAAAGACAAACAAAAAAGUAAGUUUACUGUAGUUAAAGCUAUUGGGCUAAGGCCAUGUUUAGUUGGAGAAAUUUUUUGGCUUUGGCUACUGUAGCACUUCGUUUGUAUUUGAUAAUUAUUAUCCAAUUUUGUAGACUAAUUAGGCUCAAAAGAUUUAUGUUGCAAAUUAUAGGCAAACGGUGUAAUUAGUUAUUUUUUAUAUCUAUAUUUAAUUCUUCAUGCAUGUGUCUAAAGAUUUGAUAUGACAAAAAAAUCUUCAAUUUUUUUGAAAAUUAAACAAGGCCUAAACUCUGAUAAAUUAAUAAGACAAUGGUCCAGAAAUUAAAGAGUUAUACCUAGAAUAUCUAGUCUACCACAUAGUAAAGCACAAAUCAAUAUCAUCAGAACCGCCAAUGGGCGGAAGAAACCAUGCCUGUCCACGUUGGGGAAGAGCGGACCGAGCCAGAAGAAACCACGCCCGUCCGUGUUGGGGAAGAUGACGGUAGUUUCCAUCGAGCAUGCAGAUCCCAUGCGCCUUCUCCCAUUCUCCCAAUGAUUAUUUCAUUAAGAAUAAACAUAAAUGUUAUUUGUCACCAUAUAUAGUUUUAUAGUUUUUCGACCAAGAAAAAAAAUCCAAGUAGCCGUUCAUUUUAAUAAAUAUAUGUUAAUGAUUCAUGCUAAUAAAUUACAAAUGUAAAUUAUACGUUUUGAUUGAAACAUAUGAUAUAUCAAUACUAGGAAUUUAGAGCCUAUUUGCUUGUCUAAAAAAUUAUAGCUGAAAAUAUUAUUUGCUAAUUUAUUAUGAGAAAAAAACACUGUUGACUGACAGAAAAAUACGGCUUAUAAAAAAAACGAAGUCUUAGUUCUAACACUCUCAUUUUUGUAGAAUAAUAUUAUAUACUUAAUAGCACUUGGAUAACCGAAACUCACCAUCUUGAGCACUAUAGGUCAUAUAGGAUGUGAGCUGAAAUGACUGUUUGUACCAUUAAAUUAACAAAGAGCAUGGUCUACGAGACAGUCAAAUUUUUGACCCAAAAAAAUAUAAAAGAAGUUUUGAAUAUAAAAUUAAUACAACAAUAAUCAGAGUUUGAACUCACACAAACAUAAAAACUAAUGAUCUAAAAAAUGGAAACUAAUAUAUAUAGACUUAUAAUGUCACAAAAAUAACGCAACAGACCAAUUAUAUAAUUUAAGCUAUGUUUUUCAACUAAAUACAUAUUAAAAACCAAUGAAGAUGUAAUACUCCCUCCAUUUCAAAUUUUAAGUCAUUCCAAGAAUCGUGUAGAGUCAAAGCAUUUUCAAGUUUGACCAAAAAUAUAGAGAGAAAUAUAAAGAUUUAUGUCAUAAAAUAGAUACACUAUACAAAUAUAACUAACAAAGAAUGUAAUGAUACUUGGUUGGUACCAAAAAUAUUAUUAUUUUACUAUAUAAAUUUGGUCAAAUUUGAAAAACUUUGACUCUCUAAGAUUCUUAGAAUGACUUAUAAUUUGGGACGGAGGGAGUAGAAAUGAUCAAUACAUAACAUAGUGUAGUUGGUACAACUAUCACGAGUGGAUAAAGUGUAUACAAGUGGGUAUAUUGUUUAAAAUAUGAAUUGAGUGUGUAAACAUAAUUGAUUUCGUCUAGUUGUACAAGCAUGCAGCAGGCUUCAGGAGUUCUUGGGCUGGGGCACAAUGGUACAUCUCCACUCCCGUGGGCCAACGUCCCAUGGGCCCAUCAUUCUUUGCGGCCCAGCCUCCGCAACACGACACUCGGAGGCCCGAGCGUGGAAGUGUGGAACGCAGGCGGCGGCGGCGGCGCUCGCAGGCUCGGCGCCUCGUUGGUUCGCCGGCUCCCUCAGGCUCCCAGUCCCGCCCUCCAGGUUGAUGUUUUCCUCAUCCACUUCCACGCCACCACACUUUCGCCUCCCCUUGAUCUGCUCUGUUUGGCCCCCGCUGCCAUGCCGCCAUCAGUCUGUCACCGUGUGCCCGUCAGUCCGCCAUGAGGAGCAUGUCGUCACAAGCUCAGCAAGUCCGGCGUUCGGGCCCUUCUAAAGAGGUGCGUUGUCCAUUACCUAAUUAACUUCUCCCGUACUUAGCUGGUGACGUGAUGUGUCAUGGUGCUCUCUAGGUGCUUGUUGAAUUGCCUGUGAGUGAGUAAAAAAGGUGUGUCCACUGUCUUGCCUGUGAGUAAAUCCUACCCUGUAUAGCAAUGAUGUGGCCUGUAAGAGAUCGCAGUCUAAGUUCACCCUAGCUUUAUUCUUGGGCAGGGUCCCCCACUGAUGCAAUGUAAGAGUUUAAACAGUGGUGGAGCACAGGUUCAUGAACUAAUUUCUCUGAAUCAAAAAAAAAAGUCCAAACCACAUGCCAAAUGCAUAUAUAGUUUGGUUGAACACCAAAUAUUUUCAUGUAGUUUACUGGAAUUAGUUCACAUUUAGCUAACAAGAUAUGAAGAUUUUCUCCACUCUCCAAGUCACAUUUGUUCCCAGCAAACAUAUAGGGAUACAUUCAGUGCAGUGAAAAAAAUAUUGGCAUAAAUCUUUUUUAAAAAAGCACCAUGAUCAUUAUUUCAACGUAGCAUUGCACCAUGAUUACUAAGGAUCCAGUUGGCUGAGCUCCCAAAGUAGGUUUCCAUCUGAAUUCAGAAACCUUUGCUACACACACACACACAGAGAGAGAGAGACAAAAAAAAACCCUCACUUCUGACUCACUUAUCGCAUGUAAUCAUUUUUUUACAUAUAGUUUAUCACAUAUAGAGAAUGCAAUGUGAACUUUCAGGUAGAGAAUCACUUCUCGAAAGCAUAGAAUUAGAAGCAUAGGGAGCUCUAUCAAAACAGGCACUAAAAGUUAUUGAACUAUGUGUUGAUAUAUUUUUUAACUCUGAAUACACAUCUGGAUCACUUGGCACUUGGAUUGUAUUCCAUGGAGAUCAAUACGAUCACGUACCUUCCCACCUCCAUUGUUACCUUUACCCAGCCAAACUAACACAAGCGGCCCUGAUGGAGCGCAACUCGGUGGCCGCAUCCUUCAUGCUGAGCCUCUGGAACGGCACUGCCCGCGUGCAGCUGAGCCCCACCCUCACAGCGGAGACCAGGCACUUGUGCUCUGAGAUAUGUGCACCGCCAUCGUUGGAGCCACAGGACACUUGGCCAUCAAUCCCUUCAACCAACAGAAGCGCCGGGUCAAGGACAUGCUCGAUCUUGUCUGGGAAUGACGCGGCAACGAACUCCAACAGCGUCAGCCCGUCCUUGAACGCGUCAUCUGUUGGUGACCUCCCAGUGAAGAUCUCCAGCAGUGUGAUCCCAAAACUGUAGACGUCGCCAUAUGUUGACACCUUCCCUGUCGUGCCGUACUCUGCACAGCACACAAAUUAAAGCAGGGUUGACACUGUCAUGUCAAUAUAUGUCUGGCACACAAGAUGUUGGAGUUACCUGGCGGGAUAUAUCCAAUCGUGCCUCUCAAACCACCUGUGCUUGUGGUGCUGCAAGUGUCGUGGCUCCCCGGCUCAAGAAGUAGCUUUGCCAGGCCGAAGUCACCCACCACCGCCCUCAUGUCGUCGCUGAGGAGAACGUUGCUGGGCUUAACAUCACAAUGGAUGAUCUGUGGUACGGAGUUGGUGUGGAGGUAGCACAGCGCGUCGGCGAUGUCCACGGAGAUGUUGAGCCUUUGGAUUACACUCAGGUUUUUCAUGAUCUUCAACUCUUCAGACUUGGGGUUCAUGUUCAACCACCUGUCUAGGCUGUAAUUGGGCAUGAACUCGAACACCAGGGCUCUGAAAUCGUUGCCCCUCGCAUCCACGCUGACACAACAGGUGAUUAUCCUGACAAGGUUCCGGUGCCGGAUGUUCCGCAGCGCCUCGCAUUCCGAUACAAAUGUCUUGGAGGCACCAAUCUGACAGAGGUCGAACACCUUCACCGCCACAGCGACCUUGUCGGGCGCUGAAGUACCCUUCAGUAGCAGGGGCAGGGUGCCCAGGUACACGGACCCAAACUUCCCUACACCAAUCAGGUUGGUGUCUGCGAAGCUGUUGGUCGCUUUGUCCAGUUCAGCGUAUGAUAUUCUCUGAUAGUUCAUCUCGUCCAGGACAUCAUCCAGCGUUGCAUCAUCAUCAGUUUUAAUUGCUUGUCCCGGCCUUUUCCUGUACCACUGGAACAUGCUGAGGAGUAUGGCCAAGAAGAGAGCGAUGCUUAGGACAGGCACCACUAUCUGGAGAAGCCAGCGAGUAGGGUGUGUGUUCCUGGCUGCUGGACACCGGGGCAGGUCGAGCUCCGGGAUGCCACCACAGAGGUUGGCAUUCCCUGUGAUCUUGAACCCGGAAAUGUUGGUGAAUAUGCCGCGGAGCGGUACACUGCCAUCAAGGUUGUUGUAAGAUAAGUCCAGCUCGAUCAGGGAGGUCAGGUUCUCCAAUUCCUCUGGAAUAGUUCCUGUCAAGUCGUUUCUGGACAGGUACAGCUCCUGCAGGCCGGACAUCUGGCUGAGGUCCGGUGGGAUGCUCCCUGACAGCCUGUUGCUCGCUAAGUUGAGCCUCCUAAGACCCUUGAGCUUGCUCAGCGACGGUGGGAUGCUUCCGUCGAAGAAAUUACCAUCCAGAUCAAGAAACUCCAGGCUCUUGCAGUUGUCCAGCUGUUUCGGCAGCUGACCGGAGAAUUGGUUCCCGGUCAAUACUAGCUGGGCAAGGUUGGUGAGGCCGGAGACAUCAGGGGGAAGUGGGCCGUCCAAUCGGUUGUCAGACAAGUCCAUCACCAAGGACAAGGACACCAGACUGAAGAUUUCCCUUGGCACGUGGCCAGUGAGGGCAUUGCCCGAGAGGUUGAGCGAUGUUAGGCGGUUCAGGUUGCCUAGAGUGUGAGGAAUGGAUCCAUUCAGCGUGUUACUGCUCAGAUCAAGUUGGAGCAGCUGGGUGAGGUUGCCGAUGGAGGAUGGGAUUGGCCCGGUUAACCUGUUCCCCUGCAUCCCCAACUCUAUGAGGUUCUUGAUAUUCCCAAUCCCUUCCGGGAUGGUGCUGUUGAAGAGAUUGGAUUCAAGGUCCAACAAUUGCAGCCGACGAGGUUGCCGAUACCCGGUGGAAUCGGCCCUGAUAUGCGGUUGUUUCCCAGGUAGAUCGCUUGAAUCUCCCUCGAGAGGCGGCCAAUGGAGCUUGGCAACUCGCCACCGAGCUUGUUGUUGUCAAGGGCAAGGCCCUGCAGGUUGCUGCAGUUGGUAAGAUGGUCCAGGAACUCCCAGCCUUGAUCGUCGCUCGCCGUUAGGUGGUUACCCGACAUGUAGAGCCACUGGGGGCAGAGCAUACCGAUCUCGGGAGGCACCUGCCCAGUGAAGCUGUUGUUUGCUAGGCUGAGCCACGUUAGAUUGGAGGCCUUGGCAAGUGCCGCGGGGAUGGGGCCUGUCAGAUUGUUGCCACCAAGGUAUAGGCCCCUGAGAUUGGACAUGCGCGCGCCCGCGUCCGGCGGGAGGACACCAUGGAACGCGUUGUUGGUGAGGGCAAGAAACUGGAGCGACGACAUGUUGAAGAAGCCGGGUGGGAUCUCUCCUUGCAGAAGGUUCUGGUAUGCGCUGAACGUCUGGAGGGAAGGAAGAUCCAUGAGGCCAAGGGGCAGGCUGCCUUGCAGGUAAUUCUCAUCGACCCUGAGGGCCUGGAGCUUCGUGAGGUUGCCGAGCGACGGCGGGAUCUUGCCGGACAGGGAGUUGAGGUGCAGGUACAGGUAGGUGAGGUUGGGAAACGUCCCGAGCCACGUAGGGAUGGCGCCGGUGAGGCUGUUGUUGUUGAGGUAGAGGAAUCUGAGGCUGGUGCAGCUGCGUAGGCUUUCUGGAAUCUCCCCACUGAUGCCGAUGUUGUCGCAGAGGUCGAGGUACUGUAGGCGCCGCAGACUGCCGAUGCUAUCCGGGAUGGUCCCGGAGAGCUGGUUCUUCUCGAGGACGAGGUACUCCAGGUAUGUAAGGUUGCCGAUGGCAGGGGAGAUGGUGCCGGUGAGCCCAAGGCUGGAGACGUUCAGCGACGUGACAUGCCCGUCCGUGCACGCCACGCCAGGCCACCGGCAGAAGUGCGAUGUGCUGUUCCACGACUGGAGAGCACCAGACGACGACGCGCCCGACACGCCAGCCCUGAACGCCUGCAGCGCGUCCCGCUCGAUGUUGGAGUGGGACCGCUGCACGCCUGCCGCUAACAGCAACAUGAUCAGCAGCAGAUGCAGCUGCAGUGCGUGCGUUCCAGACGUGCGUGCGCCUGCCAUGCUCUCACGGUCGGAUGCCCAGGCGCGCACAGCGCAGGUCAUCUUGUGUGAGAUUCUGCGUGGUUUCUCCUUUCUAAUGUGUGCUAAUGGCAAGGCCUUGGCAUGUGCAGGCUUAUAUGGGUGUUGUGGCGGGAAGCUGCUGCUGAUGAUGAUGAUGAGUACAAACAGAGAGCAUGCAUGUGUGUCUGCUCUUGUUUCAGAGUUGUGCUGAUCGAACAGUCCUGCAACAACUCUUCAAUUUAGGCAGGUGACUUCGUCCUACACUUGUCUUGACAGCGAUCAUUACGUGCGUAGACUUGACUAAGUGACUUUUUCUAAGUGACUUUUUCCACAUGAGUAGCGGACUAAAGCUAGACUGUUCUUGGUGUCCAUUAUUGUUUGACAAUUUUUCUUCAUGGUGAUUUGACAUACCAGCCAAUUCAAACACAGUAUGGCACUGACGACACGGACUGAAACCGAACGCGGAGUUGAUGGCGGUGGUAAUUCGGUUAUGAGGAUAUUGUCCUUUGAUCGUUCUUGCUGACUUUGCUCUUUACGUAUCAAUCCAGAGGACUGACUGGCUGAGCAUAUAUGCUGCACAUAUUUCCAUAAUUGUGCUGGCUUUUCCUCUGCAGGGAUUCUCAAGUCUGCUGAGGCAAUUUCCUGGGUUCCAUCGUGUGUCUCCUUGCUGAGCUAGAAGUUCAAAUGGGCAAGACGUUUGAAUUCUUAGCCAGCUUUACCUCAGGUUCUGCACUGGCAAGGUUUUUCUUGCCCAGACAUGCUAGCCAAUAUGGCUCGCCGAGGCGAACAAGGUUUUGCUUGCCUAGACAAGCUAGGCGAGGCUAGCUGGCCGAGAGACCAAGCAGCCUCCUAAAAUUACAACUAGGGCCUUGUUUAGUUUCACCCAAAAUUCAAAAACUUUUUAAGAUUCCGUCACAUCGAAUCGCGCGGCACAUGCAUGAAACAUUAAAUAUAGAUAAAAAAACUAAUUACAUAGUCUGUCUGUAAUUUGUGAAAUGAAUCUUUUGAGCCUAGUUAGUCCAUGGUUGGACAAUAUCAAAUACGUUUGGCUGAUAAGCCAUGGUAGAAAGUACUGUUGGCUGAUUUAUUGUGUGAGAAAAACACUGUUGAUGGCUGACAGAUUCGACUGAUAAGCUGAAGUGAACAAUAGUGAGGGAACUAAACAAGGCCGGAAACAUGCUAGUUCAUUGUGACGUACAAUUUGUUGUAUUGUAUUUAUGCGAAUAAUAAUGUGCUAAAUAUUUUUCUGGAUCCAAUUGGGUUUGGCCCAACCUUAAAUAAAAAUCUAAGAGCCAUAAUAAAUGGUAGUGCAAUAAAGGAUUGAUCUCAUAUGCAAUAACUUAAAUGGGUGGCGUUUUGUGCAUGUUGUGAUCUUAAGAAAGUAUAAGGGACCGUGACUUAAAAAAAAAUUUCAGACGAAGAUAGAUUGGCUCUGAGAGACGCGAGCGCGACUCAUCGUCGGGGAACAGGGGUCACGGUGAUGGGUUAUUUGGUCAUGGGCAUUUUGUCAUCCUCCUUCAAAAUUACUGACAUGGUCAAACAAGUCAACUAACAGAAGGAUGGAGGAAAUGGAUGGUAAUGCUAUUUAGGGGAGGCAAUUUCAGUUCGGUUCUAGACAAGAAACUUUGAUUCCGGGAGUAUCUUAGAAGAAAGAUUCAUUUUUUACGCUGCUGCAUGAUCGGGCAUUAGCACCGGUCGGAAAGGGCCUGUUGCCCCGGUUCCCGAGCCGGUGCUGCCCUUCCGGGACUAAAGGCCCACCCUUUAGUCCCGGUUCGGGCAACCGGGGCUAAAGGGCCCCCCCCGCCCUUUAACACCGGUUGGUAAUACCAACCGGUGUUAAAGGGUCCUGCCAGGGCUGCCAUGUUGCAGGACCCUUUAACACCAGUUGGUAGGGUUUUUUUUUCUUUUUUUUGUUUCACUUCUUCGGUACUGUUUAUUGUUUAUAUAUAAUAUAUAAUAAUAGGUUUUUCAAUACAUGUUUUUCUGAUACAAUAAUAUAUUUAUAUUACACGCAUAUUAAGCAUAUAUAAAUGAAAAUUAUAGGCUUAGCUUAAUAAUUAAGCUUUGCCUAUAAUAAAAUGAAUAGACCACAUCAAAAAUUAAAUAGAUAUGUAAAAAGCUUUAUAUAUAUAGUUUUAUAUGUACAAAAUUCGUAACACAUAUAUACAUAGAGUUUUUUCUCCCAAUGUCUACAAACGAUACAAAUGAUCAUCGUUGUUUGGAAUAAGAGUUUCGUUGCUGUUGAAGUGAAACUCGCCGUUUGGAUUGAUCACUUGGUCGCGGAGAAAUCCUGCUAUCGUCUCUUGGAUAGCUUUGAUUCGGUCUUGUUGUAGGACCUUUUCCCUCAGCCAUUCCGUCUUUAAUUUGAAAUAAAUUAAAAAGGUAUUAGUUAUCUAAGUUGUUCAAUAUAAUUCAGGAGAUAAUGAAAAGAGACAUGUAACGUACUCUGAGCGUCUCUAUGGGUGUUUGAUUGACUUGUGCCAUCAUGAAUUUACACACGUAAUAUGCACAUAGAUUGUUCCCCCCUUCUUGUCUUAAACACCACUGUACGAUAUAUAUAUAUAUAAAUAUUCACGACCACGACAAUAAAAAGGCUAAAAGUUAGCGAAAGUUUGUUAGCUAGUAGAACUUACUUGUGGAUGUAUUAUGUUAAGCGGCGCUUUACAUCCACUGAGAUGUUCACGGUCAAUGAAUCUUUCCCAAACCCUAUACACAGCCAUUGUGGAUCGUGAACUAAUAAUUACAGAGUCAUAUUAUGAUAUUUUUGUAGCUGAGAUCGACAUUACGUACCUUUGAAUAAUGUUUACCAUUUGUUGAUAAUUUUCUUGUGGUUUUCUCAUUGAGUCAAAGAUUAUCAACCGGUUCUUGGGAAUUUCAAUGACCAUGAGUAUCCAGUGAAAGCUGUUUACACACACAUAUAUAUAGUCAGUCCUAUAAUGUAAAAUAAAAUAUGCAUGCACUUAAUAACUAUAUAACUAACUCGAAGUUGAAGGGGAAGAGUAUUUUUUGUUUUUCUUUUUGGUUUACAAAGAACCUCAUAAGAUUGGUGCAGACUUCUGUCUCAUGAUCUGCUGUCCACACCUGCGGAGCCUUGAAAACAAUAUAAGGGUUAACGAACCCAAUACUAUUGUCAUUUUUCAUUCUGAGCUCUCUCAUUUGGUGCCUGCAUAUAUACAUACAAAUCCUAAGUGUGUAAGGAUUAUAUACAUGUAAUUAAAGAAGUUAGAAGUAUAAUAAAAAGAAAAAAAUACUUACAGACAAAAGCAGCUGACAAGAGAUUUGUCAAGAGCGUCGAGGUGGCAUAAUUGGUGCAAUUCUUCGAACUGCACGUAUAUGAGGUCAUCUCCACGGAAGUAGUGAUGUUGUCUAAUACGAACAGAAAUCCAAUUAUCUUCCCUUUUAGACGCCUCAAUGCACCAUUUGUUUAUUGCAAACAUUUGUGUGCCGAGCUCGUGUAAACGCUUAGGGUCGAAUAGACUCCUGCCCGGUUCAUAUCUUGCCCUCCAUUGAUUAACUACCUCGGCUUUUUCAAAUGUUUGACAUCCAAGAAUGGCGGCAAUUUCUUCCAUAUUUAAACCGCUCUGUCCAAAGUAACGCUCAAGCGAGUCUAGCUCAGACAACACUAAGGAUUUUUUUGGCAUCAAGUCUUCAUUUGAGCCGUAUUGAUUUGGCACAAUCAAAGGGGGCACCGGUUUUGAUACUUCUCCGAGCUGUGGGACCCCCUUUCCUACUCUCUUCUUAGUAGGCUGUGAAGACUUGACCAGAGACCGCUCAUAGUCCGAAAGUGCUGGCUUUUUCUGAGCUUCGCGUUGCUUCUUUUGAUGGUCCGCCACCUUCUGCCUCAGUUCCGAUGGCUUCACAUAAAAGUACGGCUUUUCUGGGUUAAGCCGUUUUUCCCUAUCCUCCUUUAUUUUAUCAAAAAAUUGUUGGACCUCAGCUUUGGAUGUAGCAAUUACCUCCUCUUCACUCUUUUCGUAAGGUAAUUUUUCUGGCGUCUUAGCUCUCUUUGCUGAGGCAGCCUUCUUUGGAGGUAGGACCGAUGACUUCGGUCCUUCUUGGGCGGACCGCUUCUUACUACCUCGCUUUGGAGGCGAGGGGACCGACCGUGCACUCUAUGGAGAGGGCGGUGCAGGCGGUGGAGGUGGUGGGACAACUAAUGGCCUUAGGUAGACAUCUAUGUCAUUGCCAGGUUGCUUCGGUCCUUGGAUAAGCACCGGCAUCAUAAUAAACUUCCGCUUCAUGCAUAGCCAUGAAGGAAGGUUGUAGAUACAUAGAGUAACUGGCCAAGUGCUGUGACUACUGCUCUGCUCACCGAAAGGAUUCAUACCAUCUGUACUUAAGGCGAACCGCAAGUUUCUAGCAUCAUUUGCAAAAUCUGGGAAUUCUCUGUCUAUCGCUCUCCACUGGGAUCCAUCGGCAGGGUGUCUCAGCAUAUUGUCUAUCUUACGGUCUUCUUUAUGCCACCGCAACAACUUUGCAUUGUCCUUAUUUCUGAACAGACGUUUUAAUCGUGGUAUUAUAGGAGCAUACCACAUAACCUUGGCUGGAAUUUUCUUCCUAUGACGUUCUUCACCCUCAACAUCGCCAGGAUCAUCUCGUCUAAUCUUAUACCAUGAUGCCUUACAUACUGGACAUGCAUCCAAAUUCUCGUAUUCCUCCCCACGGUAGAGGAUGCAGUCAUUAGGACAUGCGUGUAUCUUCUGGAUUUCUAAUCCCAAAGGGCAGACAACCUGUUUUGCUUCAUACGUAGUGGUGGGCAAUUCGUUGCCUUUCGGAAGCAUCUUUUUUAUGAUCUUCAAUAACUGCCCAAAUGCCUUGUCAGAUGUACCAUUCUUUGCCUUCCAUUGCAGCAAUUCUAGUGUGGUACCCAGCUUUUUUUGCCCCUCUUCAGCAGUGGGAUAUAGCGAUUUCCUGUGGUCCUCUAGCAUGCGCUCGAACUUGGCUUUCUCUUUAUCACUUUCACAUUCUCUUUGUGCAUCACGGAUGGCAUCACCAAAAGCAUCAUCGCCCCGAUCAUCUUCUGCCGCCACCUCUUCUUCAUUAUCUCCCCCCAUUGCAACAUCAUUGAAGCCACCGUACUGAGCAAUAAUAUUGGCAUGGUCCAAUUCUUCUUCUUCUUCUUCUUCACCUUCAUCCAUUAUAAUCCCGCUUUCUUCAUGUUUGGUCCAACAAAUAUAGUUUGGUACGAAACCAGACUUUAAUAAGUGUGAAUGAAGAGUUCUUGAGUUAGAAUAUUCCGUCAAAUUCUUGCACACGGCACAUGGACAGCACAUGAAACCGUCCCUCUUAUUUGACUCGGUCACACUUAAGAAAUAGUGCACGCCAUUAAUGAACUCUUCGGAGCGCCGAUCGACAUUAUACAUCCAAUUACGUGUUACCAUCUGCAUUAAAGAUAACAUAUAUAUUAUGAAAACCAUGCACACAUAUAGUUUCUCAUCUUAUUGCACAACAUGUCUAAGAUACAUAGUUGAUUAAUUUAGGAAAGCUUGGCUACAACAAAUACAAUCGCAACUAGCAUUAAAAAACAAAACUAAAAUGCACUUAAGCAACAUAAUUAGUUCGCGUCCGAUCCCAACUAUAAUAGAUAGAUCAUUCGCUUGAUCAACAUCAUUGAACUCAUUUCGUCGGCUCACUGCCUCACCACCUUCAGCCUCAACCACCUGUGCAAAAGAUUUCUUAAUGUGUUCAAUGUAUUCUUCCUCUCAGUACCAACCUGUACAUCCGCCGGUACCGUCCCACUGAAAUUAAAAGAGAGAAUCAAAAGUUUAAUUAAUAUCAUUUAAAAAAAUAUGCACAUAUAUAAGCAAAUGUCUGGAAAUAACUCACAUUACGAUCUAGACACUUGUAGAAUAUACGACCCUUGUUUACUCCCUCUUUCGACACUUUGUACUCCAUCAAAAUCUUCUGCCCACACUUGCCACAAGUAAUGAGAGGGAGUUCCGGACGGUAUCGCUUUUGAACCCGUUGAGAGACCGAAGACCCGGUCACGGUUGCCAUCUACUAUCCAUACUCAAUUUUUAAACAAUUAUAAAUUCCACAUUUACUAGUAAACAUGUAUGAUACAAUGGACAUUAUAUGUAGUAAUAAAAAUAAAUCAAGUGAUAUUAACAAACCAAUUAAUUUGAACUAUCCUACUUUCUAUGAUCAUAAAAAUAUACUAUAAUUCAUUCUUGCAAAAUACAUUAAAACUAGGUCAACCAUGAAAUAUGAUAUAUAUAUAUAUAUAUAUGGAUACUAAUUCAUGUGAAUGAUUUAAAAUAACAAAGUGGAUUUGAGCUAAAAAAUGAUGGGAACAUCACAAGCCAAAAACAACAUGAAAAAGACAAGAAAGGCUGAAGUUAGUCACCUCCAAGCACGAAGAGACGAUGACGGAGUCGAAGAAGAUCAACGAUGGGCGUUGGAGAUGAAGAACAAAUGAAGAACAAGCAAGAAGAAGCUCCAAGAACAACAAUGGUGCUCUCGGUUUCAAAUAGGCAGAGGGGAGGAGGGAGCCGGCCUAUAAACCGGACCUUUAGCACCGGUUCAGGGCAAAAACCGGUGCUAAAGGGUUACCUUUUAGCACCGGUUUGUAACACAAACCGGUGCUAAAGGGUUUGCCUCGGCCCGUGGCUCUGGCCGGUGCUAAAGGGGUCUUUAACCCCGGGCCGCAAAAAGGCCGAGGUUUUUGGCCAUUUUGAGCAUCGACCAAUGCCUCAUUCUGUAAUUAAGUGAUAUAUAUAAUUCUCUCAACCGAUAUCCAUGUCAGUGAAAGCCAAUUUACCGGCACGGACGAGCCGGCGUGUCGACCAGCUGGACCACGUGUAUAGAAUGUUGCACGCAUUGACGGACACAUGUUCCAAAAUAUCCAGCUGUUUGAUCGAAUUUCACACAUUCAGCAAGAUUCUAGCGUUGGCUAGAAAUCGUAUUGACUAUUGACUAAUACAUUGGUAUGUUUGGUUGCUAAUUACAAUAUGAUCUUAUCCAAUUUCUUUAAGCAUGACAGAGCAGCGGCUCUUAGGAACACUUCCAAAUACACAUGUGGUCACAAAUAAUGGUCGGCCGGCGAGAAAGUCUCCUAGAAACUAUAUAUAAUUUCUAUAUUUAUUAAUUUUUAUAGAUAAUAUAUAAAAAAUUUAUGGUUUCGAUGAAUAGUUUCAAUAGAAUAAUUUUUUAUCCAAUCACAUUUAUUAUAUCUCCAUUUUCAACCAAUCAUAUCACUUAAUGUAUUGUAUGUUGUGUAGACAUGGUUUCUAAUUUAGGUCAGUCUCAACUCUCAAUGCAUAGUUUCAUGGUACAGUUACUAAGACUAUAAACUAGGUAAGCGAGCCAUAUGAGUUUCAUGGGGAUGAAACUCCUCUCUCAUCUGAUGAAACUACUUCUUCAUUUAAUGACUCUGCCAAGUUAGCAAUUUUACUUAUGUGGCACCCUAUUUAAUGCACAUGACACUCUCAUGAACACAUGCAUUGAGACUAGCCUUAGACCUAGUUUCUAUGAUUUUUGCUCUUUCUUCAAUAACUAUCUUGUCACAUCAGUAAAAUACUUAGGCUAGUCUCAGUGGCUUGUUUUAAUGCACUGUUUCCAAAACAAAUCCGCUGACAAGGCAUCAAUGAAACGAAUAAUGAAACAACCUCCACAAUGCAUGAGUUUCAUCUUGAUGUUUCCUAGGCUAGGCAAAUCAUUUAAUUACUGCAAAAUGAUUGGAUCACAUGCAAGAUGGUGAAACGAUUUAGCCCUAAGUGGGGAUUUCAUCCAAUUUCACCGCGUGGGAAACAACGACCGCGGGUGAAACUACUUCCUUCUCUCUCCUCUUUAUUUCAUGCAAAAAGUGCAAUUUUACUGACACGACGCUCUAAUAAAUGUGCAUGACAUCCUGGUGAAACCUCCACUCAAACUGGCCUUAGAUGACACUACAAUUAAUAUCAUUAUGUAACCAUGGCUUUACUGUGCACGCCGUGCAAUACCAAGCAUAGAUACGGUCAGCACACGCAGCUUGACCAUAUAGCUAGCUAGGUCGCUCGUGGCUUCGUGUUAGGUAGCUCAAUAACACCUACAAAUAGGAGGGUUGGCCGCUGGAAACAAUGGCCACGGCAACAACUGCAGGUCAACCAAUCAACAUAUACGGCCGCGCGCCCUCGAUCACAUGGCCAUGACGAUGGCGACCAGAUCAGUAACCGGAACGGCGGUGCUGUGCUUUCUUGUGGCCUCGCUCCUCCUGGCCGCCUCCUCCUCCGUUAUUGCUGCAACUGCAACGACUGAAGCAGCAGCGGCCUACGGUAGGUAGUCGCGGUGUUCAUACAGUCCCUCAUGCUUUCACCGAACGAACACAGCUACGUACGCUGCUGCAUCUAUCUAUAUAUUCUUAUAUAUGAUCUGAAUAUAUCUGUCGUCGACCGUGCCCUGGUGCAGGUGCAGGUGCAGGCAGGAAGAUGAAGCAGACAGCAGCUGCGGGAGCUGUGGCAACGAAGCAGGAUGACUACGGCUACCCUGGAACUAAUGAAUUACCACCGGGAUACCCGACGGCGCCUGGAAUGAAUUAGUAGUUGCCUCUCUUGAUCUGGCAGCUAGCUACCUGCCGCGGUUGGUCGGUGGAGAACCCUGCAGGCUGCAGCUAUAUAUAUAUAUAUACUAUACAAUACAAUACAUCAUGCGCAUGAUGCAGAAUUACCAUCUCGCUGAAUACAGAUACAGAAAUUAGAUUGCUUUUGAUACAAUCCAACCUCAUGAGUCAUGUCUCGCGCGCUAAGUAAUUGGCAGCUACGUACGCGAGCCUGCCUGUUACACUGUGCUAUACAGCAACUGUACGUAUGCUAUAAGCUGUAUUUUGUUUGAAAUAAAGACCAGCUUUGGGGCACCGGGCAUGCACCAAUACUCUCAAUCUUCUUAAACGACUAUCCUUGUCUUUUCGUGAAAUAUAAUCCUGGAA
This 18580-nucleotide long non-coding RNA is filed under the name Sorghum bicolor (sorghum). Its description in RNAcentral is "long non-coding RNA (SBIC_LNC009204)". Lineage: Eukaryota; Viridiplantae; Streptophyta; Magnoliopsida; Poales; Poaceae. The record is from RNAcentral.